UACGAAGGGGGCUAGCGUUGCUCGGAAUCACUGGGCGUAAAGGGCGCGUAGGCGGCCGGUAUUGAAGUCGGGGUGAAAGCCUGUGGCUCAACCACAGAAUUGCCUUCGAUACUGGUUGGCUUGAGACCGGAAGAGGACAGCGGAACUGCGAGUGUAGAGGUGAAAUUCGUAGAUAUUCGCAAGAACACCAGUGGCGAAGGCGGCUGUCUGGUCCGGUUCUGACGCUGAGGCGCGAAAGCGUGGGGAGCAAACAGG
RNAcentral lists this ribosomal RNA (255 nucleotides) under uncultured bacterium. RNAcentral's name for it is "partial 16S ribosomal RNA". It matches the Rfam family "Bacterial small subunit ribosomal RNA", at positions 524 to 776 of the family's 1533-position model. The record is from RNAcentral.